RNAcentral lists this ribosomal RNA (492 nucleotides) under uncultured bacterium. RNAcentral describes it as "partial 16S ribosomal RNA". It matches the Rfam family "Bacterial small subunit ribosomal RNA", at positions 29 to 507 of the family's 1533-position model. The record is from RNAcentral.
AGUGAACGCUGGCGGUAGGCCUAACACAUGCAAGUCGAACGGCAGCACAGUAAGAGCUUGCUCUUACGGGUGGCGAGUGGCGGACGGGUGAGGAAUACAUCGGAAUCUACUUUUUCGUGGGGGAUAACGUAGGGAAACUUACGCUAAUACCGCAUACGACCUACGGGUGAAAGCAGGGGAUCUUCGGACCUUGCGCGAUUGAAUGAGCCGAUGUCGGAUUAGCUAGUUGGCGGGGUAAAGGCCCACCAAGGCGACGAUCCGUAGCUGGUCUGAGAGGAUGAUAAGCCACACUGGAACUGAGACACGGUCCAGACGCCUACGGGAGGCAGCAGUGGGGGAUAUUGGACAAUGGGCGCAAGCCUGAUCCAGCCAUACCGCGUGGGUGAAGAAGGCCUUCGGGUUGUAAAGCCCUUUUGUUGGGAAAGAAAAGCAGCAGGUUAAUACCCCGCUGUUCUGACGGUACCCAAAGAAUAAGCACCGGCUAACUUCGUG